AUGACUAAAGACAAGGCUGGUUUCUGCUGGAAUCAGAGCCAGUGGCCAGAGGCAGCUGAAUUCAGGGAGACCUCUUGUGCACAUUUGAACAUUAGAAUCGACAUUGAGUAUACCAGGAUUCUCAAUGUAAAAGUCUACCUCCUCCCCUUUUCAGUGUGUAAGACUGAAGGGAUUGGGCCAAUGAGCCCUGGAAUCACAUGGGGGGGCGGGAGAAGUGACUUAGGCAAGGGUUGCACCUACAGUAAGAAUCCUUUAUCUACAGGAUCGGUAUCAGCUGAUUCACUUAUCUACUGUCUGAAAAUAUUUUAUAUGCUAUAUGUAUAUGAAGUUGCAAGAACUGGCCACUGGAGGGAGCCAGAAAUCCCGCUACCCUGUUUCCCCGAAAAUAAGACAGGGUCCAAAAAUAUGCAUUAGGGCUCAUUUUCAGGGGAUGUUUUAUUUUACAGUCAUCUUCUGGUUGCUGCACAAGGGUGGAGGGCAAGGUUUGACUUCACUUGGGCUUAUUUUUGGGGUAGGGUUUAUAUUACGAGCAUCCUGAAAAAUCCUACUAGGGCUUAUUUUCAGGUUAGGGCUUAUUUUCAGGGAAACACAGUAUUUACAGUAUAGCCUUUACUAGAGAAAUUUCCUUGAUGUCAAUACCAGAAUUGGCCACUAGUGCCCUGUGUUUUUCAGUAUCCACCAGGGCUGGGGGGGGCGAAGGGGAGGCCCUCCUGUAAUUUGAUGAUGUUAUGUGGAAUCACAUUAGAAGAACAAAUUUUCUGGAUCACCAGGCGUGUAAUUCUCAGGCUUACAUUUCCAGCUGUGCAAAGGGAGUAAAAAUAGCAUUCGCCUAACUUAAAUUUAAAAUCCAAAUUAUUUUAGAAAUCAGAAUCACUUCUAAAGAGCAGUAUUGCUACAGAAAUAGUGCAUCAAGGAAUUACAUGCAGUAUUUUUAUAUUUAAAGUCUAGUAAAGGUUAGGGAGGUCCCUUAACUCCACCAAGGCCCCCACACGCAGGAGAGACAGUCACACAGCAGAGUCCGGCAUGGCGACCAUGAUGACAUCUCUUAUCAAUUCAUCUGUUAAUCUUUUGCUCCAGUGUCAUCUUUCUGGUCUUUUCUCUAAAACCAUUUGGCAGAUUAAAUGUGCAGCACCUACGACAAGGCUGGCAUGUAAAACAUUACAAACAGUAUAAAAUCUCUUGAAAGUCAUUUGCAUUUUAAAUAAAUAAUUUUAAAUACACCUUUUCUUUAUUCUA
This 1236-nucleotide long non-coding RNA is filed under the name Pogona vitticeps (central bearded dragon). RNAcentral's name for it is "lncRNA (ENSPVIG00000020586.1)". The record is from RNAcentral. Lineage: Eukaryota; Metazoa; Chordata; Lepidosauria; Squamata; Agamidae.